This 1453-nucleotide long non-coding RNA is filed under the name Calidris pugnax (ruff). RNAcentral describes it as "lncRNA (ENSCPUG00000015693.1)". Lineage: Eukaryota; Metazoa; Chordata; Aves; Charadriiformes; Scolopacidae. The record is from RNAcentral.
AUCCUCCUGCACCCUUUCUUUGGAGAAACAGGCAAGCUUGAAACUGUCUUCCUGCAAAAACAAUGAAGAUAUGCAAAAUUUUGGCAAGUUGAAGUUUCCUGGGCCAAAAUACUCGAACAAACUUGAUUAUUCCCCUGUGAAAUGGACAGAUUGGAAAAGAACUUCUGAGGAAUAACUCAGUCGUAAGCCUGUUGAUACGGAGGCACUUCCCCAAGACUCACCUCAUCUGAAUUUGUCAUUUAAGGAGCAGUCUGUGGGGCAGAGGAGCAUCCCGCAGUUUCAGACGUGAGCUGCAGAUGGCAGGAUUGAACUGCGGACUCGUUUCAACACCAGAACUCAUUUGCUCUCCCAGCCAGCAAAGCAGCUACUUUCAAGCAAGAGACCAAGAAAAGAAAAAAAAAGAGAAAAGCCAGAAGGACAAGAUGACAGGGGAGGAAGGGAUACAUCAGCUGAAAUUUGGAUAGGAUCAUUUUGAUAAGCAGCCUGCCCACGGCAAAGAAUUGGAUCACAAACUUCGUUUAGGGGGAAAAAAAAUCACCGCAGAAGAAAGGACCCAGGCCUGAUAGAAGCAGCUCCCAAGCCUUGGAGCCAGCUCUGCAACCAGACCUGGGACUAAACGAAAGAGGCCAAGUAUUCUUGCUCACCAUCUCACCACAGGCCUGGGGCAGAGGUGGGUUUUACAGACCAGAGACUCCCAGGACAGAGCUGGGGAGUCCCAGAAAUAAGUUACCUGGGGAAGAAACGGUUGGGCCAGCCUUUUUCACCCAAGGUGGCCGUGUCCAAAUGUUUUACAUUUCUGUAUCACUUGCCUUGGCCAAGAGGUCCCAGCUUCUGCCCGUGUUGGUUUCUGGCAGCUCCCUUCUGGCACUCGUCACACCUCCGAGGGCAAUUUGGAUCCACUUGCUGGCACCCCCACGGGCUGUGAGCAUCGGAGCAGGACCCAUCCCUGUGGAGACAGACACCCAACACAGACACCCAACACCUGUCACUCCAGGGGCAUCAUCUGGCUCGUCCUCUUAACUCAACAAGUAAUAAGUAGUAGUAGCAAUAUCAACAUCAACACCAGUAACAACAGCAAUGUUUCCCUUCCAAAUGCAGAAUAAUCCCCAUGAUGAAGGGACAUGUCUUUAAUGAGGAAAGGCUGAGGGACUUAGGUGUUUUUAGUCUGGAGAAGACUGAGGGGGGAUCUGACCAAUGCUUAGCCCCAAAAGGGUGGGUGUCAGGAGGAUGGGGCCAGUCUUUUUUCAGUGGUGCCCAGUGACAGGACACGAGGUAACAGGCACAAACUGGAACACGGGAAGUUCCAUCUAAACAUGAGGAGGAACUUCUUUUUUAUGAGAGGGUGACUAGAUGAUCUCCAGAGGUCUCUUCCAACCCCAUAUCAUUCUGUCAUUCUGUCAUUCUGUGAUACGUUCUAUUUAUAAGAAAAAAAUAAAAAUGAAGAUAUCAAACA